GGAGGCUUCAGUUCUAGUUUCCUGGAAAGACCGAAAGCUAGAGGAAGAGGGGCAAUGAAGGCACUUACAAACUUCCUGCUUAUUAGCAUCUUCAUCCUCUGGGUGGAACUGCCACCUGCAAUGUUAUAUGGAAAAACAGGCAAACCUGGUAUCUGCCCAGUAGAUGCUUGCGCCUGUCUUGGUCCUCUACCAGAUGCAUGCAAAAAUGAUUAUUCUUGUAAAGGAAAUAAGAAAUGCUGUAUAUAUUGUUGUAAAAUGCAAUGUAUGCCACCAGCAUAAGCAAAUUAAUUUCCUGAUGGGCUGUGAAAUGAAGUACGGUAUCUCUCGAAAAUGACUCCUUCCCUCCCUCUAUUGGCUUUAAGAAAAAAAUCAGGGAAACUUCUGAAUAAAUU
Non-coding RNA from Anolis sagrei ordinatus, 392 nucleotides. NCBI's taxonomy places the organism in Eukaryota, Metazoa, Chordata, Lepidosauria, Squamata, Anolidae. The record is from RefSeq and is a predicted model, not a curated record.